CCCCCACCCACUAUCCCCCUUCUCCAUCCCCGUGUCGUUUGCUGUAAGCAAUAAAUCCCUAACAUACUUCGCCUAUCUCCCGCCUCCCCCUACGCCCCCCCCCGUAUGCCUACACGCCCUCCCCCACCCCUCCCGGCCCCGCCCCGUCCCUCCUCCGCCCCCCCACGUCCGUUCUCACCCUCUCCCCUUUCUUCCCCCACCCCCGCCUCCCCCCACCCUAACAUCAUAUUUCACCUUCUCGCGACCUCCCUCCCUCCUCUGCUGCCCCCCCCUAUACAUUUCUCCCUUCUCAUUUACCCCCCCCUCACUGCCUCCCCCGUUAUCAUCCGACCUCCCGGUCCCCCUCCAUGACGUUUUCUACCCUUUCUUUUUUAGCGUCCUCCCCCCGCCUCCGUUCUAACCCUCCCCUCCCCGCCCACCGCGACACGAACCCUUCCACACUCCCGUACGGAGCACCCANACCUUCCACAAUGCGNACCACCCCCCNCUCNCGCNACCNNCGGAAUCGCGGGCACAANCCGAGUAAGGUCGCACGCCCUCCAANCCCNANGCCANNCCACAUUCGGGUCANCNNNGUGNUNCAACGCAUGGAGNAAAGGUGCGCGAGACCGCGAGGCUUAGCCAAUCCCAUAAAACNAUUNUCAGUUNGGAGUGUAGGGUGCAACUUNCUUAAAUGAAGCGGGAAUCGUUAGUAAUCGUCUAUCAGCAUGCCACGCCGAAUACGAUCCCGGGUCUNCUACACNCCGCCCGUCACACCACGACAGUUUGUAACACCCGAAGUCGCUGGGGUAAUCGAAAGGCACCAGCUGCUUAAGGGGGGACAGAUGAUUGGGGUGAAGUAGCACACUAGUAGACACGCCGCCGACAUGGGGCGCGGCAGCAUGCAACGACGUGGGGCAAUAAUCCGUCUAAUAGUACGUGACAUA
RNAcentral lists this ribosomal RNA (926 nucleotides) under uncultured low G+C Gram-positive bacterium. RNAcentral's name for it is "partial 16S ribosomal RNA". Lineage: Bacteria; Bacillati; Bacillota. The record is from RNAcentral.